Molecule: ribosomal RNA, 509 nt
Filed under: uncultured Pseudomonas sp.
Lineage: Bacteria; Pseudomonadati; Pseudomonadota; Gammaproteobacteria; Pseudomonadales; Pseudomonadaceae
Description: bacterial SSU rRNA
Rfam family: Bacterial small subunit ribosomal RNA
Source: RNAcentral
GUUUGAUCCUGGCUCAGAUUGAACGCUGGCGGCAGGCCUAACACAUGCAAGUCGAGCGGUAGAGAGAAGCUUGCUUCUCUUGAGAGCGGCGGACGGGUGAGUAAUGCCUAGGAAUCUGCCUGGUAGUGGGGGAUAACGUUCGGAAACGGACGCUAAUACCGCAUACGUCCUACGGGAGAAAGCAGGGGACCUUCGGGCCUUGCGCUAUCAGAUGAGCCUAGGUCGGAUUAGCUAGUUGGUGGGGUAAUGGCUCACCAAGGCGACGAUCCGUAACUGGUCUGAGAGGAUGAUCAGUCACACUGGAACUGAGACACGGUCCAGACUCCUACGGGAGGCAGCAGUGGGGAAUAUUGGACAAUGGGCGAAAGCCUGAUCCAGCCAUGCCGCGUGUGUGAAGAAGGUCUUCGGAUUGUAAAGCACUUUAAGUUGGGAGGAAGGGCAGUAAAUUAAUACUUUGCUGUUUUGACGUUACCGACAGAAUAAGCACCGGCUAACUCUGUGCCAGCAGC